GAUGAAGAACGUAGCGAAAUGCGAUAACUAAUGUGAAUUGCAGAAUUCCGUGAAUCAUCGAGUCUUUGAACGCACAUUGCGCCCCUUGGUAUUCCAUGGGGCAUGCCUGUUCGAGCGUCAUUUGUACCUUCAAGCCUUGCUUGGUGUUGGGUGUUUGUCUCGCCUCUGCGCGCAGACUCGCCUCAAAACAAUUGGCAGCCGGCGUAUUGAUUUCGGAGCGCAGUACAUCUCGCGCUUUGCACUCAGAACGACGACGUCCAAAAGUACAUUUUUACACUCUUGACCUCGGAUCAGGUAGGGAUACCCGCUGAACUUAAGCAUAUCAAUAAGCGGAGGA
This 337-nucleotide unclassified non-coding RNA is filed under the name soil metagenome. Its description in RNAcentral is "partial contains 5.8S ribosomal RNA, internal transcribed spacer 2, and large subunit ribosomal RNA". The stretch from base 1 to 120 matches the Rfam family "5.8S ribosomal RNA", at positions 35 to 154 of the family's 154-position model. The record is from RNAcentral.